AAAAGAAACGAUUUCUUCAAAUAUAUUUUUUUUUCUUGUUGAAAAAUUAGUUGUUUUUACUGUUAUUCAGAAGCAUGGAGUUUCGUAUAACUUUCCUUUUUUCAACUAUAAGCUACCGUACAUUUUAUACAAGGAUUUUUGCCCCAAUCUUUAUUUUUAUUUUUGGUGCACAGGAAUGAAAUUUGGAGGUCAGGUAGUAUAGAGCAGAACUGUUGAAGAGGUAGAAAAGGCUGCAGAUGAGCUUCUACAUUUCAUGGAAGCUAAGAAAAGUAAAGGGGGCGAGUGCAUCUGUUAUAUGUUGUUCAAAAAUGAAUAAAAC
Molecule: long non-coding RNA, 319 nt
Filed under: Olea europaea (common olive)
Lineage: Eukaryota; Viridiplantae; Streptophyta; Magnoliopsida; Lamiales; Oleaceae
Description: long non-coding RNA (OEUR_LNC014987)
Source: RNAcentral